GAGCACUAGAAAUCCCGCAGGAUAAUCUCCCCAGGUCCAGGGCCACAGUUUACUCUUUCCUGUGUAUUCCUUAUGCAGUCAUGCUUUUCCUGAUGCAGGGCCUGACAUUAAGGGCUCUGGGGCUUCCAUGUGUGGGGAGUGUUUACCUAACCCUGAUAGCUCUUCUUUUAUUCUUAUCUCCAGUCAGCUUGACGAUGGCUUAUCAGUUUGAGCAUGAUAAGUUGAGUACAUUGCCACAUGCUGGCUGAGAGCCCCAGUGUUUUAGGUGUUGAUAGACCCCCUAUUUCCUAAGGUACUGUGGUUUGCACAGAGUCUAAGUUGUCUUGGGUUUCCUUCUGUUGUCUUUUGGUGCUCACUUCCUAAACAUGUCGGCUUAUGCCUGAACUCUAGCAA
This 393-nucleotide long non-coding RNA is filed under the name Rattus norvegicus (Norway rat). RNAcentral describes it as "long non-coding RNA NONRATT029006". Lineage: Eukaryota; Metazoa; Chordata; Mammalia; Rodentia; Muridae. The record is from RNAcentral.